CUGAUCUCAAAUCAGGUAGGACUUCCCGCUGAACUUAAGCAUAUCAAUAAGCGGAGGA
Molecule: ribosomal RNA, 58 nt
Filed under: Rhizoctonia solani AG-4 HGII
Lineage: Eukaryota; Fungi; Basidiomycota; Agaricomycetes; Cantharellales; Ceratobasidiaceae
Description: partial 28S large subunit ribosomal RNA
Rfam family: Eukaryotic large subunit ribosomal RNA
Source: RNAcentral